This 512-nucleotide ribosomal RNA is filed under the name uncultured bacterium. RNAcentral describes it as "partial 16S ribosomal RNA". It matches the Rfam family "Bacterial small subunit ribosomal RNA", at positions 28 to 523 of the family's 1533-position model. The record is from RNAcentral.
GACGAACGCUGGCGGCGUGCCUAAUACAUGCAAGUCGAGCGGAACUGGGGGAGCUUGCUCCUUCCAGUUUAGCGGCGGACGGGUGAGUAACACGUGGGCAACCUGCCCUGCAGAUCGGGAUAGCUCCGGGAAACCGGUGCUAAUACCGAAUAGUUUGGCGCCUCUCCUGAGGCGCUACGGAAAGACGGUUUCGGCUGUCACUGCAGGAUGGGCCCGCGGCGCAUUAGCUAGUUGGUGGGGUAACGGCCCACCAAGGCGACGAUGCGUAGCCGACCUGAGAGGGUGACCGGCCACACUGGGACUGAGACACGGCCCAGACUCCUACGGGAGGCAGCAGUAGGGAAUCUUCCGCAAUGGACGCAAGUCUGACGGAGCAACGCCGCGUGAGUGACGAAGGUUUUCGGAUCGUAAAACUCUGUUGUGAGGGAAGAACACGUACCAACUAUCUAUUGGUACCUUGACGGUACCUCACCAGAAAGCCACGGCUAACUACGUGCCAGCAGCCGCGGUAA